CGUGUAGGCGGUCAGGUAAGUGGGAUGUGAAAGCCCUCGGCUCACCCGAGGAUCUGCAUUCCAAACUGCCUGGCUUGAGUAUGGGAGAGGAUGAGGGAAUUCCUGGUGUAGCGGUGAAAUGCGUAGAUAUCAGGAGGAACACCGGUGGCGAAGGCGCUCAUCUGGCCCAAUACUGACGCUGAGGCGCGAAAGCUAGGGGAGCAAACG
Molecule: ribosomal RNA, 207 nt
Filed under: uncultured bacterium
Lineage: Bacteria
Description: partial 16S ribosomal RNA
Rfam family: Bacterial small subunit ribosomal RNA
Source: RNAcentral